UUUCCUGGUUGUACCCGCAGAAAGAUGGUGGGGGGGAGGAAGCUUUGGUCCGGCAAGCUAAAGAAAUGCAGUGAAAAUCAACCCAAGAGAUAACCCGCCACCUUCAUUUCAAGGAGAAGCUGUGUGGUAUGAAUACUGGAGGUGAAAUUGUGACCACUGAAAUAAACAUGGGAGAGCCAAGGCAUGUGUGGACACAGCAGGCUGGGCUCCAGAGCUCACUUCCCUGGCAGGGUAAAACAACGGAUGGAAAUCUUUAAAAACCAGCCAUCAGGUUUGCCAUCACAGACUUCCAAUACAGCCACCAGACAUGGAUCUUAGGAGCCGCUCUUUACCAACCGCCUUCCUCUAGCAACUGACACUGUGGAAUCCUUCAGGUCUCCAAGGGGAGCCAAGAUCACAGAAUUCUGUGGCCUGUUGUGAGGUCACAGCCUGAUCAGUUGGUGGCCACAGUUGCUCUGGUUUGAAUCCAUACUCUGUACUUCUAGAUUGUAGUAAAGUUUUACCCAUA
Molecule: long non-coding RNA, 508 nt
Organism: Hemicordylus capensis (graceful crag lizard)
Lineage: Eukaryota; Metazoa; Chordata; Lepidosauria; Squamata; Cordylidae
Exons: 2
Source: RefSeq, a predicted model, not a curated record